This 621-nucleotide long non-coding RNA is filed under the name Salmo trutta (river trout). RNAcentral's name for it is "lncRNA (ENSSTUG00000014975.1)". Lineage: Eukaryota; Metazoa; Chordata; Actinopteri; Salmoniformes; Salmonidae. The record is from RNAcentral.
GCUGCUGAAUCAUAUGAAUGGUUUGUAAUGAUGGCGUGUUUAUGAUUUGCAAACAGAUCGGCUACAUCAAGAUGAAGUGUCCUGACUGUGGUCACCAAGUGGCAAAAUCGUCAAAAUUUUGCAGUGAAUGCGGAUUGAGGUUACCUGCUCAAAUUUGCACCACAGAUGGGACCACUUCAGAGCAUCAAACAUCUGUGGUCCGUGAAGCAGAGCCCCAGAAGGAGGAUGCACCGAUGACAUCAUCAGGGGACAAGACCGACGCACCUAUGAAACACUCCAGUGAAGAACCAGGGGGCAAUGUCAAGAAAAAGGUCCCAAUCUUUACUAGAAUAUAGAGUAUAUGCAGAGUCAGGAUUGUUUUACAUAGUUCAAAAUUCGGUAACACUUUACUCAAAGCGGACAGGUAUAAUGUUUUAUUUCCUGUUAUGAGCAUUCAUAAGCCUUUAUAAUGUCAUCUUAUUAAAAGGCUUCUAAUAUUUUGUCUAUGUAACCUCUUUUUAAAUGACUCAACAGCUGUCAUUAAGUCAGAGUAUCAUUAUUAUGAGACGAUAAGAGAUUUACAAUUAUAUCUUUUUUUAACAGAACCAGUCACACUUUCACUUUGUGCCGUUAGGAUGUGAC